UACCUGCAGCUCGAGUGGUAACCGCUAUUAUUGGGCCUAAAGCGUCCGUAGCCGGUUUGGUAAAUAUCUGGGUAAAUCGUGAGGCUUAACUUCACGAAUUUCGGAUAGACUGCCAGACUUGGGAUCGGGGGAGGUCAGAGGUACUCCAGGGGUAGCGGUGAAAUGUUGUAAUCCUUGGAGGACCACCGGUAGCGAAGGCGUCUGACUAGAACGAGUCCGACGGUGAGGGACGAAGCCCUGGGGCGCAAACCGGAUUAGAUACCCGGGUAGUCCAGGGUGUAAACUAUGUGGGCUUUGUAUUGGAGGUCCCACGUGGGCGUCCAGUGCAGAAGAGAAGUUGUUAAGCCCACCGCCUGGGAAGUACGGUCGCAAGGCUGAAACUUAAAGGAAUUGGCGGGGAGCACAGCGAACGGGAGGAGCGUGCGGUUU
Molecule: ribosomal RNA, 429 nt
Filed under: uncultured archaeon
Lineage: Archaea
Description: bacterial SSU rRNA
Rfam family: Archaeal small subunit ribosomal RNA
Source: RNAcentral